RNAcentral lists this ribosomal RNA (440 nucleotides) under uncultured bacterium. Its description in RNAcentral is "bacterial SSU rRNA". It matches the Rfam family "Bacterial small subunit ribosomal RNA", at positions 338 to 795 of the family's 1533-position model. The record is from RNAcentral.
CCUACGGGUGGCAGCAGUGGGGAAUCUUGCGCAAUGGGCGAAAGCCUGACGCAGCAACGCCGCGUGCGGGAAGAAGGCUUUCGGGCUGUAAACCGCUUUCAGCAGGAACGAAAAUGACGGUACCUGCAGAAGAAGGAGCGGCCAACUAUGUGCCAGCAGCCGCGGUGAUACAUAGGCUUCAAGCGUUGUCCGGAUUUAUUGGGCGUAAAGAGUUCGUAGGCGGUCGAGUAAGUCGGGUGUGAAAAUUCUGGGCUCAACCCAGAGACGCCACCCGAUACUGCUUAACUUGAGUUCGAUAGGGGAGUGGGGAAUUCCUAGUGUAGCGGUGAAAUGCGCAGAUAUUAGGAGGAACACCGGUGGCGAAGGCGCCACUCUGGAUCGACACUGACGCUGAGGAACGAAAGCAUGGGUAGCAAACAGGAUUAGAUACCCCAGUAGUC